Molecule: ribosomal RNA, 253 nt
Filed under: uncultured prokaryote
Description: partial 16S ribosomal RNA
Rfam family: Bacterial small subunit ribosomal RNA
Source: RNAcentral
UACAGAGGUGGCAAGCGUUGUUCGGAAUUACUGGGCGUAAAGGGCGCGUAGGCGGCCCGAUAAGUCCCGCGUGAAAGCCCCCGGCUCAACUGGGGAACUGCGCGGGAAACUGACGGGCUUGAGUUCGGGAGAGGGAAGCGGAAUUCCGGGUGUAGAGGUGAAAUUCGUAGAUAUCGGGAGGAACACCAGUGGCGAAGGCGGCGAUCUGGGAAGAUACUGACGCUAAGGUGCGAAAGCGUGGGGAGCAAACAGG